AGCGUUGAAGAUGUACCGGCAAGGAGCGUUGGAGCGGAUAGAAGUGAGCAUGCAGGCAUGAGUAGCGAUAAUUGAGGUGAGAAUCCUCAACGCCGAAAACCCAAGGUUUCCUACGCGAUGCUCGUCAUCGUAGGGUUAGUCGGGUCCUAAGUCGAGUCCGAAAGGGGUAGACGAUGGCAAAUUGAUUAAUAUUUCAAUACCAACAUACAAGCGCGAUGUGGGGACGCAUAGAGUUAAUCGAGCUCACUGAUGGAAUAGUGGGUCGAAGGACGUAGGUUGAUACUUAGGCAAAUCCGGGUAUCAUAAGACCGAGAUCUUACAGGCUCUUGACACUCUUCGGAGGAGAUGGAGAAUCGAUGAUACUGUCGUGCCAAGAAAAGCCACUAAGUAUAUUGUAUGUUGCCCGUACCGUAAACCGACACAGGUGGGUGGGAUGAGUAUUCUAAGGCGCGUGGAAGAACCCUGGUUAAGGAACUCUGCAAACUAGCACCGUAUCUUCGGUAUAAGGUGUGCCUACUUUGGUAUAUGGGCUUGCCCCAAAAAGCUAGAGAGGUUGCAACAAAGAGUCCCUCCCGACUGUUUACCAAAAACACAGCACUUUGCUAACACGUAAGUGGAUGUAUAAGGUGUGACGCCUGCCCGGUGCUCGAAGGUUAACUGAUGAUGUCAGCGCAAGCGAAGCAUUUGAUUGAAGCCCGAGUAAACGGCGGCCGUAACAAUAACGGUCCUAAGGUAGCGAAAUUCCUUGUCGGUUAAAUACCGACCUGCAUGAAUGGCGUAACGAGAUGGGAGCUGUCUCAACCAGGGAUCCAGUGAAAUUGUAGUGGAGGUGAAAAUUCCUCCUACCCGCGGAAAGACGGAAAGACCCCGUGCACCUUUACUACAGCUUGACACUGUAGCUUGGAUAUUCAUGUGCAGGAUAGGUGGGAGGCUAUGAUAUAUGGACGCAAGUACAUAUGGAGCCAUCCUUGAGAUACCACCCUUGAAUAUUUGAGUUACUAACUGCGUACAAUUAUCUUGUAUCAGGACAAUGUCUGGUGGGUAGUUUGACUGGGGCGGUCGCCUCCUAAAAAGUAACGGAGGCUUACAAAGGUUAGUUCAUGGCGGUUGGAAAUCGCCAGUUGAGUAUAAUGGCAUAAACUAGCUUGACUGUGAGACAUACAAGUCGAACAGAGGCGAAAGUCGGUCAUAGUGAUCCGGUGGUUCUGUGUGGAAGGGCCAUCGCUCAAAGGAUAAAAGGUACGCCGGGGAUAACAGGCUGAUCUCCCCCAAGAGCUCACAUCGACGGGAAGGUUUGGCACCUCGAUGUCGGCUCAUCGCAUCCUGGGGCUGAAGUAGGUCCCAAGGGUAUGGCUGUUCGCCAUUUAAAGCGGUACGCGAGCUGGGUUCAGAACGUCGUGAGACAGUUCGGUCCCUAUCUUCCGUGGGCGUAGGAAAGUUGAAGAGAUUUGUCCCUAGUACGAGAGGACCGGGAUGAACGUACCACUGGUGUACCAAUUGUUCUGCCAAGAGCAUCGUUGGGUAGCUACGUACGGAUGUGAUAAGAGCUGAAAGCAUCUAAGCUCGAAGCCAACUCUAAGAUUAACUUUCCCUGAAGUUCCCAGCAAGACUAGCUGGUUGAUAGGCUGGAUGUGUAAGCGUUGUAAGACGUUUAGCUGACCAGUACUAAUAGAACGUUCGGCUU
RNAcentral lists this ribosomal RNA (1684 nucleotides) under metagenome. RNAcentral's name for it is "bacterial LSU rRNA". It matches the Rfam family "Bacterial large subunit ribosomal RNA", at positions 1246 to 2925 of the family's 2925-position model. The record is from RNAcentral.